AGGAUAGAGGCCUACCAUGGUGGUAACGGGUAACGGGGUGUUAGGGCACGACACCGGAGAGGGAGCCUGAGAAACGGCUACCACAUCCAAGGAUGGCAGCAGGCGCGCAAAUUACCCAAUCCCGACACGGGGAGGUAGUGACAAUAAAUAACAAUACGGGGUUCUUUCGGAUCUCGUAAUUGGAAUGAGUACAAUUUAAAUCUCUUAACGAGGAACAAUUGGAGGGCAAGUCUGGUGCCAGCAGCCGCGGUAAUUCCAGCUCCAAUAGCGUAUAUUAAAGUUGUUGCAGUUAAAAAGCUCGUAGUUGAAUUUCGGGGUUAGUAGGUUGGUCAUGCCUCUGGUAUGUACUGGUCUCACUGAUUCCUCCUUCCUUAUGAACCGUAAUGCCAUUAAUUUGGUGUUGCGGGGAAUUUGGACUGUUACUUUGAAAAAAUUAGAGUGUUUAAAGCAAGCUAACGCUUGAAUACAUUAGCAUGGAAUAAUGAAAUAGGACGUUCGAUCUUAUUUUGCUGGUUUCUAGGAUUGACGUAAUGAUUAAUAGGGAUAGUUGGGGGCAUUAGUAUUCAAUUGUCAGAGGUGAAAUUCUUGGAUUUAUUGAAGACUAACUACUGCGAAAGCAUUUGCCAAGGAUGUUUUCAUUAAUCAAGAACGAAAGUUAGGGGAUCGAAGACGAUCAGAUACCGUCGUAGUCUUAACCAUAAACUAUGCCGACUAGGGAUCGGAUGA
Molecule: ribosomal RNA, 726 nt
Filed under: uncultured fungus
Lineage: Eukaryota; Fungi
Description: SSU rRNA
Rfam family: Eukaryotic small subunit ribosomal RNA
Source: RNAcentral